UAUAUAUCAUAUCAUAUGGUCCUACUACUCUUUCUUAAUUAUCGAAAUGCUUAAUGCUGGCGUAAGGGCAUACGUUUUCUUCGGGAGUGGACUAUCAACCCAACGUGUUGUUAGGCUCAGUAGAGUUGUGGUACAAAAGAAAAGGUGGUUGCAAGGAAGUUUUGUAUGCAGAGAGCUCAUUGUAGGAGAAGGUGGGCAGUCAAUGGAUAAUUUUGAUAAGAGGAAUUAGACAUAUUCUUUGACAGAUAAAUCUCCAAGGCUGGAGCUUAAAUGCUGUAAAACAUUGAAAGAGAAUAUCAAGUAGCUUAUGCUGGGUUAUUGAUGGAAGAUGUGAUUUGCAAAUUGUCUCACUAUCUAUAUUUAUGAAUGUUGAGAAAAGAAGACAUUUGAGGUCUUCUACUAAGGAAAUUGUAUGAUCGCAAGUUGUUUUGAGAGCCAUAAUUUAAGAAAAAAGUCUUAUAAUUAGAUUGUUUCAUUUCAUGUUUGUCAUACAACUUUCAUAUAUGAAUAGUGGACAAUUAUAUUGUUUUCAAGUUUGUUUUUCGCUGAGAUAUUGUUUUCAAGUUUGUAAUUGCAAAUAUUAUCUUCAAGCCAAUUAGGAUACAAUAAAGCAUGCUUGAGUUUUCAUGAUUAUAUAUAGAGGUGGACCUCA
Long non-coding RNA from Quercus lobata, 652 nucleotides. RefSeq lists it as uncharacterized. Lineage: Eukaryota; Viridiplantae; Streptophyta; Magnoliopsida; Fagales; Fagaceae. The transcript has 3 exons. The record is from RefSeq and is a predicted model, not a curated record.